CCUACGGGAGGCAGCAGUCGAGAAUCAUUCACAAUGGGGGAAACCCUGAUGGUGCGACGCCGCGUGGGGGAAUGAAGGUCUUCGGAUUGUAAACCCCUGUCAUGUGGGAGCAAAUUAAAAAGAUAGUACCACAAGAGGAAGAGACGGCUAACUCUGUGCCAGCAGCCGCGGUAAUACAGAGGUCUCAAGCGUUGUUCGGAAUCACUGGGCGUAAAGCGUGCGUAGGCUGUUUCGUAGGUCGUGUGUGAAAGGCGGGGGCUCAACCCGCGGACGGCACAUGAUACUGCGAGACUAGAGUAAUGGAGGGGGAACCGGAAUUCUCGGUGUAGCAGUGAAAUGCGUAGAUAGCGAGAGGAACACUCGUGGCGAAGGCGGGUUCCUGGACAUUAACUGACGCUGAGGCACGAAGGCCAGGGGAGCGAAAGGGAUUAGAUACCCUUGUAGUC
RNAcentral lists this ribosomal RNA (446 nucleotides) under uncultured bacterium. RNAcentral describes it as "partial 16S ribosomal RNA". It matches the Rfam family "Bacterial small subunit ribosomal RNA", at positions 338 to 795 of the family's 1533-position model. The record is from RNAcentral.